Molecule: long non-coding RNA, 718 nt
Organism: Asparagus officinalis (garden asparagus)
Lineage: Eukaryota; Viridiplantae; Streptophyta; Magnoliopsida; Asparagales; Asparagaceae
Exons: 2
Source: RefSeq, a predicted model, not a curated record
GCAUUUUAUUUCCAAUUACGGACGGACUUAUAUGCAAAAGAGCGAUUGCUAAAGGAGAAAGAUGGUUGAGAUCCCUAAUCCCCCACUAAUAUAAGACCAUUACCCAAAACGAAAAAAAAGCCAACAAAAAUCUCUCCUUUUUUCGUCCAAUACCAAUCCAAAUCCAAAUUAACUCCUCUCGAUCUCUCUCUCAGAUCGAACCCCUUCAUCAAUGGCGUCGAUCCCCUGCGCGAUCCAUCUCUACGCUCCAUCGUCUCCUUCCUCAAUCUCAUCUGAGUCCCAAUCUCAAUCGAGGUCCCCAGUGGAGAAGCUCUUUCGGAAGAGUUUUGGGUGGGUCCGGGCCUCGUUGGCUCGGCCCAAAGUAGGGCCCAUCUCCGUUCUUGCCUUGGAUCAGAAUGAUGUUGAUCAGGGACUCCUCAGAUGAUAUGAUGGGGAUCAAGAUUUAGAAGGCAGCAGAUCGGAACUUCAUCAGCCUCUGGUUUUAUUCUACAGAAUGUGCUCAUGAAAUUUGCUAGCAAUCUUUUUCUUUUUAGUCUUUCAAUAGUUUUUUUUACCUUUUCUUUUUCUCUUUUUAUUGGCCCUCAGCCACUGUAAAUUCUAUUUAGCUUUGCUUUUAUUUAGAAGAUAAUUUUAGUUGGCUUUGUGGAGUCAGUUUGUAUCUCCAGUUUAGUUGCAAAUAUUAAAGUAUCUUGCAGGUGGGCUCCUGUUCAAAACAGUA